This 506-nucleotide ribosomal RNA is filed under the name uncultured bacterium. Its description in RNAcentral is "partial 16S ribosomal RNA". It matches the Rfam family "Bacterial small subunit ribosomal RNA", at positions 30 to 523 of the family's 1533-position model. The record is from RNAcentral.
AUUGAACGCUGGCGGCAGGCCUAACACAUGCAAGUCGAACGGCAGCGGGGGAUAGCUUGCUAUCCUGCCGGCGAGUGGCGGACGGGUGAGUAAUGCAUGGGGAGCUGCCCAGUCGAGGGGGAUAACAACUGGAAACGGUUGCUAAUACCGCAUACGCCCUAAGGGGGAAAGGUGGGGAACUUCGGUCCUACCGCGAUUGGAUGCGCCCAUGUGGGAUUAGCUAGUUGGUGGGGUAACGGCUCACCAAGGCGACGAUCUCUAGCUGGUCUGAGAGGAUGACCAGCCACACUGGAACUGGGACACGGUCCAGACUCCUACGGGAGGCAGCAGUGGGGAAUAUUGCACAAUGGGGGAAACCCUGAUGCAGCCAUGCCGCGUGUGUGAAGAAGGCCUUCGGGUUGUAAAGCACUUUCAGUCAGGAGGAAGGGGUGAUGGCUAAUAUCCAUCAUCAUUGACGUUACUGACAGAAGAAGCACCGGCUAACUCCGUGCCAGCCGCCGCAGUAA